This 85-nucleotide ribosomal RNA is filed under the name uncultured eukaryote. RNAcentral describes it as "partial small subunit ribosomal RNA". The record is from RNAcentral.
GUGGAAUUUCUCAGAUUUGUUAAAGACUGACUUAUGCGAAAGCAUUUGCCAAGGAUGUUUUCAUCGAUCAAGAACGAAAGUAGAU